GCGCAAUGGGCGAAAGCCUGACGCAGCAACGCCGCGUGGGGGAUGACGGCCUUCGGGUUGUAAACCUCUUUCGACAGGGACGAAGCUUUCGGGUGACGGUACCUGUAGAAGAAGCACCGGUUAACUACGUGCCAGCAGCCGCGGUAAUACGUAGGGUGCGAGCGUUGUCCGGAUUUAUUGGGCGUAAAGAGCUCGUAGGCGGUUUGUCGCGUCGGCCGUGAAAACCUGCAGCUUAACUGUGGGCGCGCGGUCGAUACGGGCAGACUUGAGUUCGGCAGGGGAGACUGGAAUUCCUGGUGUAGCGGUGAAAUGCGCAGAUAUCAGGAGGAACACCGGUGGCGAAGGCGGGUCUCUGGGCCGAUACUGACGCUGAGGAGCGAAAGCAUGGGGAGCGAACAGGAUUAGAUACCCUGGUAGUCCAUGCCGUAAACGUUGGGCGCUAGGUGUGGGGAUGGGUUCCACCGUUUCCGUGCCGUAGCUAACGCAUUAAGCGCCCCGCCUGGGGAGUACGGCCGCAAGGCU
RNAcentral lists this ribosomal RNA (522 nucleotides) under uncultured bacterium. Its description in RNAcentral is "bacterial SSU rRNA". It matches the Rfam family "Bacterial small subunit ribosomal RNA", at positions 366 to 895 of the family's 1533-position model. The record is from RNAcentral.